This 296-nucleotide unclassified non-coding RNA is filed under the name Hevea brasiliensis (rubber tree). Lineage: Eukaryota; Viridiplantae; Streptophyta; Magnoliopsida; Malpighiales; Euphorbiaceae. The record is from RNAcentral.
UUAGAUGGGCAGAUGUGGAAUGCAAGGUUAGGUGAAACCGUGGAUCAAGAUGUGAUAAAAUACUCUAACAAUGUGGAGCAUGCUAGAUGUAGACUGUAUUCUUGGUAUUUAGUUUUAGGUUGGAUCUUAGCCACCCCCUGAUAGUUAAAUCUCGUUGGGGUUAGGUGAUUCGAACAUUUUUUUGAUUAGUUGGAUUUUGACCAUGUUGAUCAUCGUCUACCUAACUUCAGGAAUCUUAGAAUAUUCUCAUUGUUUAUUCCUCCUUGUGAAGUCAGAAUACUGCCUGCACAGUUGAG